RNAcentral lists this ribosomal RNA (446 nucleotides) under uncultured bacterium. RNAcentral describes it as "bacterial SSU rRNA". It matches the Rfam family "Bacterial small subunit ribosomal RNA", at positions 330 to 793 of the family's 1533-position model. The record is from RNAcentral.
CCCAGACUCCUACGGGAGGCAGCAGUGGGGGAUAUUGCACAAUGGGGGAAACCCUGAUGCAGCGACGCCGCGUGGGUGAAGAAGCGCCUCGGCGCGUAAAGCCCUGUCAGCAGGGAAGAAAAUGACGGUACCUGAAGAAGAAGCCCCGGCUAACUACGUGCCAGCAGCCGCGGUAAUACGUAGGGGGCGAGCGUUAUCCGGAUUCACUGGGUGUAAAGGGAGCGUAGACGGCCAAGCAAGCCAGGGGUGAAAGCCCGGGGCCCAACCCCGGGACUGCCCUUGGAACUGCACGGCUGGAGUGCGGGAGGGGCAGGCGGAAUUCCUGGUGUAGCGGUGAAAUGCGUAGAUAUCUGGAGGAACAUCAGUGGCGAAGGCGACUAUCUGGCACAUAACUGACGCUGAGGAGCGAAAGCGUGGGUAGCAAACAGGAUUAGAUACCCCGGUAU